UAGACCCGAAACCGGGUGAUCUAUCCAUGAGCAGGUUGAAGCAAGGGUAAAGCCUUGUGGAGGACCGAACCAGUUCUGGCUGAAAACAGUUUGGAUGACUUGUGGAUAGGGGUGAAAGGCCAAUCAAACCCGGUGAUAGCUGGUUCUCCCCGAAAUAUAUUGAGGUAUAGCCUUGCGGAUUGUCUUAUGGAGGUAAAGCUCUGACAGAACUAGGGGUCCUAUCCGACUACCGAAUUCUUUCAAACUCUGAAUACCAUUAAGAUUUACCGCAGGAGUCAGACGGCGGGUGCUAAGGUUCGUCGUCAAAAGGGCAACAGCCCAGACCGACAGCUAAGGCCUCCAAAUGCAUGCUCAGUGGUUAAGGUGGUGGCGUUGUGCAGACACCCAGGACGUUGGCUUAGAAGCAGCCAUCGUUUAAAGAAAGCGUAAUAGCUCACUGGUUCAAUGGCGCUGCGCCGAAAAUGUAACGGGGCUAAGCAUGCUGCCGAAGCUUCGGAUUUGUCUCUGACAACUGGUAGGGGAGCGUUCUCUGCGGGCUGAAGCGGAACCGAAAGGUUUCGUGGACUGCAGAGAAGUGAUUAUGCUGACAUGAGUAACGAUAAAAUAUGUGAAAAACAUAUUCGCCGUAAAUCCAAGGUUUCCUGGGUAAAGGUAAUCUUCCCAGGGUUAGUCGGACCCUAAGGCCAGGCUGAAAGGCGUAGCUGAUGGGAAACGGGUUAAUAAUCCUGUACUUGUGCGAUUGUGCGAAGAAGGGACGCAGGAUGGUAGACAGGCCGGUUUUUGGAAUCCGGUGCAAGUGCGUAGGCGUGCUCCGCAGGCAAAUCCGCGGAGAUGAGCCGAGACACGAGUCCGUGGGCGCAAGCCCUGAAGCUGUUGAGCCACGGCUGCCAAGAAAAGCUUCUAAGUUUAGAUCGCGCGAACCGUACCGCAAACCAACUCAGGUGGAUGGGAUGAAUAAUCCAAGGCGCUCGAGAGAACUCUGGCCAAGGAACUCGGCAAAUUGACCCCGUACCUUCGGAAUAAGGGGUGCUCCCCACGGUGAGACAAAUUCUUGUUCAGCCCCGGGGAGCCGCAGAGAAAUGGUGGUGGCGACUGUUUACUAAAAACAUAGGUCUGUGCGAAGUCCUACAGACGACGUAUACGGACUGACGCCUGCCCGGUGCCGGAAGGUUAAAAGGAGGAGUCAGCGCAAGCGAAGCUCCGAUUUGAAGCCCCGGUAAACGGCGGCCGUAACUAUAACGGUCCUAAGGUAGCGAAAUUCCUUGUCGGGCAAGUUCCGACCUGCACGAAUGGCGUAACGAUCUCCACGCUGUCUCGGCCAGAGACUCGGUGAAAUUGAAGUCGCGGUGAAAAUGCCGUGUACCCGCAGAAAGACGGAAAGACCCUGUGCACCUUUACUAUAGCUUGACAUUGGGUUUUGAACCUGCAUGUGUAGGAUAGGUGGGAGGCUGUGAAAGCUGUACGCCAGUAUGGCCGGAGCCACCCGUGAAAUACCACCCUUGUUUGUUCAGGACCCUAACUCGCAGCUGUAAUCCAGCGCGAAGACAGUGUCUGGUGGGUAGUUUGACUGGGGCGGUCGCCUCCUAAAGAGUAACGGAGGCAUGCAAAGGUUCCCUCAGGCUGAUUGGAAACCAGCCGCUGAGUGCAAGCGCAUAAGGGAGCUUGACUGCAAGAGAGACAUCUCGAACAGAUACGAAAGUAGGUGCUAGUGAUCCGGUGGUCCCGAAUGGAAGGGCCAUCGCUCAUUGGAUAAAAGGUACGCCGGGGAUAACAGGCUGAUCGCAUCCAAGAGUUCACAUCGACGAUGCGGUUUGGCACCUCGAUGUCGGCUCAUCACAUCCUGGGGCUGAAGCAGGUCCCAAGGGU
Molecule: ribosomal RNA, 1866 nt
Filed under: human gut metagenome
Description: bacterial LSU rRNA
Rfam family: Bacterial large subunit ribosomal RNA
Source: RNAcentral